GUUAUGUGGAGCUAUAUUCAAUCCACAAAACCCCCUUUUCCUAGCGUGCCCAAAUGAUCCUAAUAGGUUUUAUCCUAAUCAUGGUACGCUUGCACUGCCUUUGAUUACUUAACUGACAUUUAUUUGUUACUGUUUGUUUCUACCUUCUCAAUCUUGACAUAAUCAAUUUCAGUAAUCUGUUGUAAUGCUUUGUUAUAUAAUUUUGGAUUAUGAUUCAAACAUUAAAUCUGGAACUUGCAAGCAAUUUGAUUUCAAAAGUUGGUUUGAGCUAUGAUCACUAUAUCUAUAUAUUAGUAUCCCGGUUCAUGACAUCAAGAAUAGCGUAUGUACGUAGUAUUUAUUUAUUUUUUAUUUAAAUACACAGCAAUUGAGCUCGAACCCUUCCACUUCGAUUGCUUGGAAUUUGUUGGGAAGUUGGUUGCAUUAGCUUUGAUGUACGAAGUACAAGUGGGUGUUGCCUUCGCCCAUUUGUUUCUUUUGCAACUGGCUGGAAGAAGGAAAAUUUCACUAGAAGAUGUA
This 519-nucleotide unclassified non-coding RNA is filed under the name Hevea brasiliensis (rubber tree). Lineage: Eukaryota; Viridiplantae; Streptophyta; Magnoliopsida; Malpighiales; Euphorbiaceae. The record is from RNAcentral.